Sceloporus undulatus (fence lizard) is the source of this 1830-nucleotide long non-coding RNA. RefSeq lists it as uncharacterized. The transcript has 7 exons. The record is from RefSeq and is a predicted model, not a curated record. Lineage: Eukaryota; Metazoa; Chordata; Lepidosauria; Squamata; Phrynosomatidae.
UGAAUGUGAAGCCUCUCCUGUUGCAGCGGUCCAACAAGUGCUCCUUAGAGGCAAACUGCAUCUGAAUUUGAAACCUACAAUUUAGCAUUUGAAGUGACUUUUAGUCACUGCUUACAGAUGAAGUUGCUGUUCAAGACACAAGAGCAAGCCAGGAUUCUUUUUGAUGAUAAAUGGAGCUGCAUGGAAGUGGAGGACAUUUUUAACCUGAAAUGUUUUUUUAGUGUUCUCUGAAAGAAGGCUGGCUUCAUAUCACUAAAGAAUUGAAGUGUUAAUUUUGACAACUCAUUGACUCCAGGCUAUGGACACAACACACUGCCUGACAAGCUGAAAACAACAAGUGAAGCUCUGCACUGCAAGGAGAUGCAGUAAUGAGAAACAGUGCACUUGCUAAUUCUGCCAGACCUCUGUCUCCUCUGGCACAAGAACCUGGUCAGAAAACCCAUGGGAGGAAGAAGAAGAAUAAGACAUCAGACACACAGUUUUAGAUUUUCAGAUUUCAUCAUGGGAAGAAGAGAAUGUCACUGGAGGGAGAAGAGGAGAUUUGAAGUAUAUCAAAGAGAACUUUGUUAGCAGCAUGAGAAUAAAGGAGUUUGGCUAAGCAGCUUUUAUGAAGUACAAAAUUCCUAAGACCAGCUGUGAAAUUUCAAGAGGAGAAGAGAAAACCUUAUUCUUUUCCAGUCCUAGAAGAGUAUUCUAAAAUAUUCCCUGAAGCUGCUAAAAGGACAUUUCCCAGACUACAUACCUUGAAGGCUGGGCCAAGAACAGUUGAGGAGUGAUGCUGCAGCCGCAGUGAACUCACAGAGAUUGACCUUUACAAAGAACCUGCACUCAGGAGCUGUGGCAGAGAGAUUUAAUAUUGCCAAGUCCAAGGAGACUUUGAGGACGAUCUGACGCAAAGACUUCACUGAAACCCUUCCCUUGAGGAAUGUCCCAAAGUUUGAAAUGCAUACAGCUGGGCAAUUUAUGGCUUUCCCCCUGUGUACACAUGACUCCAUCUCUACCAAGUAUUUCUGCCUGUUCUGACCUAUGGAGCAGGAGAGACUAAAAAUUAUUAGGGUUGGCUCCAGAGCAGCCCAGCUGUGGAUGUCACUGCCACAGAGGAAGCUGGCUUGAAACCAUCUAAUUAUGAGCCUUUGCCUUGGGCACAGAUUGAAAGAGCUACUUAAUCAACACUCAGCCAGACAAUCUGCAUUCCAGGAACUGGUAGGUUUUGCAUCCUUGCCAGGUGUAAUAUCCUGCAGUCCAGACUGCCUUGUUUGCCAAAGCACACGGUAUCUGCAGCAAGGACCUCAUAGUGAGCCAAAAGAUACACACAAUUGGAUUGAAAUCAUCACAACAGCAGUCCCAACAAAUUAUCUUUUUUUGAUGACUGGAGGAAAAGGGAGCAAGAAAGGAAGAGAAGAUAAAUUUUCAGACUAACCAUGCCCUUUUGCACAGGACAUUCAGCAGCAUUUGAAAAGCUGAUACAAAAGCAAAGGAAUCUGCUUCUACUAGGCAUUGUUGUUACCACUGCAGAGUUGAAUUAACCACAAAGGUCUGUCCAGUUCAGAAAUUUGCUUCCAACUGCAGCCAGUCCAGAUGCUUCUGGGAAGCCCACAAGCAGCACAGCAGAAAAGCAAAGCAAUAGUUGCUCCCUAUUGUUUGUUCCCAACACCUGAUACCCCAAAUCUCCUUACAACCCAGAUUUAACACACUCAUCUGCUUGCAUAUGGUGCCAAACUAUGUGACAUUUUCCUUCCCUCCACCACCAUAAAUACUGCUUUGAAAAAAUACAACUUUUCAGUUUGAUUACUGUUCAAAUACUUUUCAACUGAACAGACAUAUAUUAAA